Molecule: non-coding RNA, 269 nt
Organism: Poecilia reticulata (guppy)
Lineage: Eukaryota; Metazoa; Chordata; Actinopteri; Cyprinodontiformes; Poeciliidae
Source: RefSeq, a predicted model, not a curated record
GCUCUUCCUCAUUACUCUCCUCCUCUUCUUCAUCACUGCCAACCACAAAGCUGUCCUCUGCGUACGUCUCAUCCAUCUCAGGCACCUGCCAACAAAAGAACUCCCACUUCUUUCUGAAACACACCUGAAUGGUUGCCAUGGCGAUUAAAGGAUUUCUCAAUCAUGGAUGAAAGAGUGAAAGAAACACUUCAGGGCUUCUCACAGACUUCAGGUAAACUCCACGCAUCUCCGAGUCUGAUGUGGAGCAGAACAGAACCAGAGUGAGUUCA